ACAAAUACUGUGUCGUGGCAAGCAACUACCUUCAAAGCGAUUUUCCAACUUCGGUGCAAAUCCUUCUAACCGGUUGCUCUCCAAGGUUCCACAGCUACUUCCAAACACCUGCACUUGUGGCUAGAAGUUUGGAGUUGCACAAAAUUAUUGCCUAGAAAUUCACAAGGAAUAGAAUACCAAUGAGGAGAAAAGUAAUUAAGAAAGAAAGCCAAGAAAAGACAAAUGAUAUUUCUUUCUGUGGAUAUGUUUUUUCAUCAAGUGAAGAGUACACUUAUAUCGAUGUGAAAAUGUACAUUUUGGUGAAGAAAUAAAUAAGAUGAGUUAAUAUCUUAUUUAAGACAAGCAUUUUAGUUCAUCACAUUAAGAAAUGUAUUAUCUUUAACUCUCAUCACGAUAAUUAAUUUGAGUGAAUGAAUAUGAAAUUUUUACUUUGCAUUUUAAUCUGCACAAUUAAUUAAAAAGAAAUGAAUGCAAUAAAUUCAUUAUCAUUCAUGAACGAAAAAACUCACAUAUUCAGAUUCAUUGAACUUCAAAAUAGAUACGAAUUUCAAAUAAAAACUAAAAACAACCAUUUGCUUUUUCGACCUUUUAUCUUAAUUAACUAGUUCACAUGGGUAACGAGGACAACUUGGCGAAGGUCUUUAUCACUCCUCCCAGUGCACGUUCUAAUGUGCGCCCAGGCUUAAGAACACGAACCAAGCUGGUAUAUCGACGACAAUUGCUCCAGUGAAGGAGGUCACAAGCAUCGGGAGGAAGUAGAGUGGUGAAGAAGGUACAAUUCAAUUGAACAGUACGAAUUGUUUCACAGAGAGAAGAGUUAGGUCGAGGGAAUCGAGUGACACCAAAAAAUCCACCUAAAGUGCGAGCACAGAAAUAGAAGAAACAAAAUCAUCUUGAGUAGAUGAAAUAGAGAAAGAGGAAGAGAUGUUAGGGAAACCACCAGGUGCAGGAGUGGAUGAGAAAACUAAGUUACUAGUUGAAAGCUCGAUAUGAGAGAAGUUUGAUAUAGUAAAAAUUGUAAUCGCAACUUCAAUUAGAGUAUGUGAAUUAUGAACACAUUGGGGAUCAACUGGUAGGGAGAAUUGAGCUAAAGGAUAUCAGUUCAAAAGUGGAAUAGUGGUGAAAUGCGAUCGUGUGUUAUGUUAUAGGUGCUCACCUAUCAUUCACAAUAUUGAAUGGAUUUAUUCAGCGAAUUUUGGGGCGACAUGGCAUUAAUAAAAUUGCGAUGAUGAAAAAUGAAAUUAUGAUGGUACGUUUGAUAGUGAAAAGGGGAAAAUAGAUGUACUGCAUAGAGACAUUUACCAUUUUGACAAUAAGCCUCUUAUUGUCUAGGAAUAGAUGCUUGAAAUGGAGUUUUCGAAAGAGGAAUUGCUCACAGUCCCAAUUUCGAUUACACUUCCAGGUUUGGAUUUGAAAUACCGGACUGCUCGUGGUUUAAGUAACAUUGGAAGUUUAGUGGGAAAACAAUUAAUGGGGGAUAACCAUACAAAGAAAAAGCUUGAUCUGAGCUUUGCAUUGUUGUUGGUGAAGUACAGGUGGGAAAUAAGCUGCCGUAUGAGGUGUUGUCUCGAAAUGAG
Molecule: long non-coding RNA, 1577 nt
Filed under: Capsicum annuum
Lineage: Eukaryota; Viridiplantae; Streptophyta; Magnoliopsida; Solanales; Solanaceae
Description: long non-coding RNA (CANN_LNC019439)
Source: RNAcentral